AGCUUCUUCCCUGUAACAGGAAAUUACUGGAUAAAAUUGUAUGCUGUCUUGUCCAAUUAUAAGACAAUCAGUGCUGGGAACACCUUACUGGCUAAAAAACAACUGUCAUAAUUUCUACCUCAGAGGCUCCAGACAUGACACACCUAUAACCGUGGUAUAAAAGAUGGUGGCUGGUGUGUGAAUGCUUUAAAGGAAACAUAAAGGGAAAUGAAAUCCAACUGCAUCUCCUACUGCAUUAGUGUGAGAUCGUGAAGAUCUGAGGACAGUGCAUCACAUCUCAGGGGAAGGUUAUGAUACAAAAUGCUGUGGUCUGUCAUGGUGCGUGGUUUAACUCCAAGUUCAGCCAAAGCGUUUCCAUUUUAUAUCCAUGUGUUCUGGGAAUUCAAACUUUUUUAAUCCGAUUAAAUGUUAUUAAUAUUAUGUUAUAUUUUAUCAUGGUGCAUUCUGUAGCUAUUCUUGAAUGAGUUAUCUCUUCCUUUUACUAGAAGUAAUUUUCUAUAUUAUCAAGAGAUAAAAGGUCACAUAAAUAUAACGCUUUUCCAGAAUUUAUUGCUUGAUUUUAGCUAUACUAACAGAUUGUAAUUGGGAAGUGAAUGCAAAGACUAAGAUUAUCAGACCUCACUUACCUGGUCUGGUGAACUCUCCCCCACUUCCCGCCCCACUGGGACAUUAUUUUCUGCAGUUUGCUCCUUGGAAGUCUGGAGGUAUGCCAUUACAGAGGGUCACCUUGGAGGUCCAAGUAGUUAUGGAAAUACUGCUUUCGGAGAUUUAUGAAGCAUGUCAACACAUUAAAAUCUCUAAGAAGUCCAGUAAAGCAAGUUGUUUGAGCCAGUGUUUGCCUCUUUGAUUGCAUAAUACAUAUACCUUGUAUUAUUUGUUUGAUGAAACAUGUUUUAGGAAGCUUUACCCUGGAUUACAAUUCCUCAGCCAGAAGCACGAAAAAACCUGAAAUUGCUUUUAAUAAAGUCCUUAGAGUUGAUUUGGAAUGUGAAGAAUUGAGUUUGAGACUUUAUGCUGUAAUUUUACAGCUAGGCAACGUUGGAUAUAUCUUGAAAGUUACCAAGAAGGACUCAUCAAAUAUCACCUGA
Molecule: long non-coding RNA, 1088 nt
Filed under: Phocoena sinus (vaquita)
Lineage: Eukaryota; Metazoa; Chordata; Mammalia; Artiodactyla; Phocoenidae
Description: lncRNA (ENSPSNG00000010885.1)
Source: RNAcentral